This 406-nucleotide ribosomal RNA is filed under the name uncultured bacterium. Its description in RNAcentral is "bacterial SSU rRNA". It matches the Rfam family "Bacterial small subunit ribosomal RNA", at positions 355 to 776 of the family's 1533-position model. The record is from RNAcentral.
UCAAGAAUAUUCCUCAAUGGCCGAAAGGCUGAAGGAGCGACGCCGCGUGUAUGAAGAAGCCCUUCGGGGUGUAAAGUACUUUUAACUGUGAAGAAACAAUGACAGUAGCAGUUGAAUAAGGGGCUGCUAACCUCGUGCCAGCAGCAGCGGUAAUACGAGGGCCCCAAGCAUUAUCCGGAUUUAUUGGGCGUAAAGCGUCCGUAGACGGUUGGUUGCAUCUCCUGUUAAAUCACAAGGCUCAACCUUGUGGCCGCGGGAGAGAUGAGCAAACUAGAGACUGGAAGAGGCAAGCGGAAUUACUGGUGUAGGGGUUAAAUCCGUUAAUAUCAGUAAGAACACUUAAUGCGAAGGCAGCUUGCUAGGACAGUUCUGACGUUAAAGGACGAAAGCGUGGGGAGCGAAUGGG